GCAACGGGUAACGGGGAAUUAGGGUUCGAUUCCGGAGAGGGAGCCUGAGAAACGGCUACCACAUCCAAGGAAGGCAGCAGGCGCGCAAAUUACCCAAUCCCGAUACGGGGAGGUAGUGACAAUAAAUACUGAUACAGGGCUCUUUUGGGUCUUGUAAUUGGAAUGAGAACAAUCUAAAUCCCUUAACGAGGAACAAUUGGAGGGCAAGUCUGGUGCCAGCAGCCGCGGUAAUUCCAGCUCCAAUAGCGUAUAUUAAAGUUGUUGCAGUUA
Molecule: ribosomal RNA, 270 nt
Filed under: uncultured eukaryote
Lineage: Eukaryota
Description: partial 18S small subunit ribosomal RNA
Rfam family: Eukaryotic small subunit ribosomal RNA
Source: RNAcentral